This 241-nucleotide small RNA is filed under the name Arabidopsis thaliana (thale cress). RNAcentral's name for it is "ATSL203720". The record is from RNAcentral. Lineage: Eukaryota; Viridiplantae; Streptophyta; Magnoliopsida; Brassicales; Brassicaceae.
CUAAUGUAGGUACUAAAACACAAUAACCCAAAUCUAAUUGGAUUGAAUUUCAAAAUCCUCAAAAUCCUCAAAAUCCUAAUUCAAAGCUUUUGAAGCUCUCUCCAACUCGAUGCACAUACCUGGACUUAGUAGAUUGAUGCAGCUUGCAGGAGAAGAAAAACGGCAACCAAUGCGGCUCGCCGGAGCUCGCCGGAGGAAGAAGCCCGAAGAAGAAGUCGAAGCUUGAGCUCGAGCUCUUUUU